Molecule: ribosomal RNA, 207 nt
Filed under: uncultured bacterium
Lineage: Bacteria
Description: partial 16S ribosomal RNA
Rfam family: Bacterial small subunit ribosomal RNA
Source: RNAcentral
CGUGUAGGUGGAAAAGUAUGUCAGGUGUGAAAUCCCGCAGCUUAACUGCGGAAUUGCGCUUGAAACUGCUUAUCUGGAGUGCGGUAGAGGGAAGGGGAAUUCCCGGUGUAGAGGUGAAAUUCGUAGAUAUCGGGAGGAAUACCGGUGGCGAAGGCGCCUUCCUGGACCUGCACUGACACUAAUACGCGAAAGCGUGGGGAGCAAACA